This 1543-nucleotide ribosomal RNA is filed under the name human oral metagenome. Its description in RNAcentral is "bacterial LSU rRNA". It matches the Rfam family "Bacterial large subunit ribosomal RNA", at positions 1270 to 2814 of the family's 2925-position model. The record is from RNAcentral.
ACUUUGGAGGUAUCAGAAGUGAGAAUGCAGGAAUAAGUAGCGAGAAAGGGGGCGAGAAUCCCCCUCGCCGGAAGACCAAGGUUUUCAGGGUAAAGCUUGUCUUCCCUGAGUAAGCCGGGACCUAAGCCCAGGCUAUAAUGCGUAGGCGAAUGGAAAACAGAUUAAUAUUUCUGUGCCAGUCAUUUAUUGUGAUGGAGGGACGCAGAAGGGUAUGUGCGCGGACGAUCGGUUGUGUCCGUAGAAGUAUGUAGGGUGACUUAGUAGGUAAAUCCAUUAAGUUAUAUCUGAGGUAUGAUAUACAGUCGUAAGAUGAAUGUGCAAAUCCCACGCUGCCAAGAAAAGCUUCUAACGUUAAUAUAUGACUGCCCGUACUGUAAACCGACACAGGUGGUCAGGAUGAGAAAUCUAAGGCGGACAGGCUAACUCUCGUUAAGGAACUCUGCAAAAUAACCUCGUAACUUCGGGAGAAGAGGAGCCCUUGUGUGUUAGUAUACAUGCGAUACAAAGCGCACGAGGGUCGCAGUGAAGAGGCUCAAGCAACUGUUUAACAAAAACACAGGUCUAUGCUAAGCUGUAAGGCGAUGUAUAUGGGCUGACACCUGCCCAGUGCUGGAAGGUUAAGAGGAGGAGUGAGAGCUCCGAAUUGAAGCCCCAGUGAACGGCGGCCGUAACUAUAACGGUCCUAAGGUAGCGAAAUUCCUUGUCGGGUAAGUUCCGACCUGCACGAAUGGUGUAAUGAUUUGAGCGCUGUCUUGACGGGAGGCCUGGUGAAAUUGUAUUACCGGUGAAGAUACCGGUUACCUACAGUAGGACGGAAAGACCCCAUGGAGCUUUACUGUAGCUUGGUAUUGGGUUUUGGCAUUGCAUGUAUAGGAUAGUUGGGAGACUAUGAUGAUAUGGCGCUAGCUGUAUCGGAGUCAUCGGUGGAAUACCAACCAUUCAAUGCUGAAAUUCUAAUCUGUGGUUUGUAGCCACGGAGACAGUGCUAGGUGGGCAGUUUGACUGGGGCGGUCGCCUCCGAAAGAGUAACGGAGGCGUUCAAAGGUUCUCUCAGGUUGGAUGGAAAUCAACCAUAGAGUGCAAUGGCAUAAGAGAGCUUGACUGCAAGACUGACGGGUCGAGCAGAUGCGAAAGCAGGACAUAGUGAUCCGGCGAUUCCGAAUGGAAGGGUCGUCGCUCAACGGAUAAAAGCUACCCUGGGGAUAACAGGCUGAUCCUACCCGAGAGUCCAUAUCGACGGUAGGGUUUGGCACCUCGAUGUCGGCUCAUCGCAUCCUGGGGCUGGAGAAGGUCCCAAGGGUUGGGCUGUUCGCCCAUUAAAGCGGUACGUGAGCUGGGUUCAGAACGUCGUGAGACAGUUCGGUCCCUAUCCACUGUAGGCGUUAGAAUAUUGAGAAGACCUGUCCUUAGUACGAGAGGACCGGGAUGGACAAACCUCUGAUGUACCAGUUGUCACGCCAGUGGCACAGCUGGGUAGUCACGUUUGGAAUAGAUAACCGCUGAAAGCAUCUAAGCGGGAAACUAACUUCAAGAUAAGUAUUCU